This 253-nucleotide ribosomal RNA is filed under the name uncultured bacterium. RNAcentral's name for it is "partial 16S ribosomal RNA". It matches the Rfam family "Bacterial small subunit ribosomal RNA", at positions 524 to 776 of the family's 1533-position model. The record is from RNAcentral.
UACGUAGGGGGCAAGCGUUGUCCGGAUUUACUGGGCGUAAAGAGCGUGUAGGCGGCCAAACAGGUCCGUUGUGAAAACUGGAGGCUUAACCUCCAGACGUCGACGGAAACCGUAUGGCUAGAGUCCGGAAGAGGAGAGUGGAAUUCCUGGUGUAGCGGUGAAAUGCGCAGAUAUCAGGAAGAACACCAAUGGCGAAGGCAGCACUCUGGGACGGUACUGACGCUGAGACGCGAAAGCGUGGGGAGCGAACAGG